UACGUAGGGGGCAAGCGUUGUCCGGAAUUAUUGGGCGUAAAGAGCGCGUAGGCGGUCCGAUAAGUCGGCUGUGAAAGUCAGGGGCUCAACCCUUGGAAGCCGGCCGAUACUGUCGGACUAGAGUCCGGAAGAGGCGAGUGGAAUUCCGAGUGUAGAGGUGAAAUUCGUAGAUAUUCGGAGGAACACCAGUGGCGAAGGCGGCUCACUGGCUCGAUACUGACGCUGAGGUGCGAAAGCGUGGGGAGCAAACAGG
Molecule: ribosomal RNA, 253 nt
Filed under: uncultured bacterium
Lineage: Bacteria
Description: partial 16S ribosomal RNA
Rfam family: Bacterial small subunit ribosomal RNA
Source: RNAcentral